Molecule: ribosomal RNA, 434 nt
Filed under: uncultured bacterium
Lineage: Bacteria
Description: partial 16S ribosomal RNA
Rfam family: Bacterial small subunit ribosomal RNA
Source: RNAcentral
AGCGAACGCUGGCGGCAGGCCUAACACAUGCAAGUCGAACGAACCCUUCGGGAUUACUGGCGGAUGGGUGAGUAACACGUCGGAACGUGCCGUUAGGCACGGGAUAACACAUGGACACUUGUGCUAAUACCGAAUGUGCUCUUCGGGGGCAAGAUUAAGCGUCGUUAGAGGGGCCGGCGUUCGUUUAGCCAGUCGGUUGAGGUAAUGGCUCACGAAGGCGACGUUCAGUAGCGGGUCUGAGAGAACGAGCAGCCACAUUGGGACUGAGACGCAGUCCAGACUCUUGCGCGAGGCAGCAGUGGGUGAUCCAGCCCAAUCGGCGAAAUCAUGACGCAGUCCGGCCGCGUGAAUCAUGAUGUUCGGAGGAUUGUAAAGUUCUUUCACCGGGGGCGAUAAUGACGGUACCCGGAGAAGAAGCCCCGGCUAACUUCGUG